This 976-nucleotide ribosomal RNA is filed under the name uncultured marine bacterium. RNAcentral's name for it is "bacterial SSU rRNA". It matches the Rfam family "Bacterial small subunit ribosomal RNA", at positions 65 to 1037 of the family's 1533-position model. The record is from RNAcentral.
AACUUACUUAGCUUGCUUUGAAAGUUUCUAGUGGCGAACGGGUGAGUAACACGUGAGUUACCUGCCUCGAAGUGGGAGAUAGCCCGGGGAAACUCGGAUUAAUACCCCAUGUGAUCGUAAGAUUAAAGGCGGCUUCGGCUGUCGCUUCGAGAUGGGCUCGCGGCCUAUCAGUUAGUUGGUGAGGUAAAAGCUCACCAAGACGAUGACGGGUAGCUGGUCUGAGAGGACGACCAGUCACACCGGAACUGAGACACGGUCCAGACACCUACGGGUGGCAGCAGUCGAGAAUCAUUCGCAAUGGACGAAAGUCUGACGGUGCGACGCCGCGUGGAGGAUGAAGGCCCUAGGGUCGUAAACUCCUGUCAUCAGGGAGUAAUUACUUAUGUAGUAACUGACAUAGGUCUUGAUAGUACCUGAAGAGGAAGGGACGGCAAACUUCGUGCCAGCAGCCGCGGUAAUACGAAGGUCCCAAGCGUUGUUCGGAUUUACUGGGCGUAAAGCGUCUGUAGGCGGGAUGGUAAGUCAGAUGUGAAAUCCCGGGGCUCAACCCCGGAACUGCAUCCGAUACUGCCAACCUAGAGGGUCGGAGGGGAGUCUGGAAUUCUCGGUGUAGCAGUGAAAUGCGUAGGUAUCGAGAGGAACACUCGUGGCGAAGGCGAGACUCUGGACGACACCUGACGCUGAGAGACGAAGGCCAGGGUAGCGAAAAGGAUUAGAUACCCUUGUAGUCCUGGCAGUAAACGGUGCACGCUUGGUGUGGGAAGGUUCGACCCUUUCCGUGCCGGAGCUAACGCGUUAAGCGUGCCGCCUGGGGGAGUACGGUCGCAAGAUUAAAACUCAAAGAAAUUGACGGGGACCCGCACAAGCGGUGGAGCAUGUAGCUUAAUUCGAUGCAACGCGAAGAACCUUACCUGGGCUUGGCAUGUUAGUCGUAGAUUUGUGAAAGCUUAUCGUCACUUCGGGUGGACUAUCACAG